Molecule: unclassified non-coding RNA, 252 nt
Filed under: uncultured Chaetothyriales
Lineage: Eukaryota; Fungi; Ascomycota; Eurotiomycetes; Chaetothyriales
Description: sequence contains 5.8S rRNA gene, ITS2, 28S rRNA gene
Rfam family: 5.8S ribosomal RNA (bases 1-52)
Source: RNAcentral
AACGCAUAUUGCGCCCUUUGGUAUUCCGAAGGGCAUGCCUGUUCGAGCGUCAUUAUCACCGUGUCAAGCUUGGCUUGUUGUUGGGCCCUUUGUCACCUGGUGACAGGUCCAAAAGAUAAUGACCGGUGUCGUACCGACUCUAUAUGCAACGAGCUGAUUACAGCACGCAUCUGGCAGUCGUACGGCCCGGUCUUCAGCCCUUUAUUUCUCAAGGUUGACCUCGGAUCAGGUAGGAAUACCCGCUGAACUUAA